Molecule: long non-coding RNA, 5880 nt
Filed under: Corvus moneduloides (New Caledonian crow)
Lineage: Eukaryota; Metazoa; Chordata; Aves; Passeriformes; Corvidae
Description: lncRNA (ENSCMUG00000019931.1)
Source: RNAcentral
AUGGAGCGGAUUACUGCUGAGUGGCUUCACGCACUGCAGACACCCAACACGCUGCAGCGCAGCCUGGGACGCACCGAAAGUCUGGCGCCGAGGGCACGACCGGCCCCCGCAGCGUGUGCGCACCAACAAACCCGCGGCCAGCGCCCCGCCGCGCCUCAGCGCCCGGAGCCCUCAGCGCCCGGAGGGAGCCCUCAGCGCCCGGAGCCUCGGCACCGCGGGGGCCGCUCGGGGCCGGCCGCACCGCGAGCCGCUGCUGCGGGGAGAGGCACCCCCGGCAGGAACGGCACAGCACAGCACGGCCCGGCCGUGCCCCGCAGCAGAACCGAUACCGGCACGGCACGGCACGGCACGGCACGGCACGGCCCGGCCCGGCACGGCACGGCACGGCACGGCCCGGCCCGGCACGGCCCGGCACGGCACGGCACGGCCCGGCCCGGCCCGGCCCGGCACGGCACGGCACGGCCCGGCACGGCACGGCACGGCACGGCCGUGCCCCGCAGCCCCGGGCCGCCCCCUCCGCCGCGCACUCACUCCGCCAUCUUGCCGGGCGCAGCCUCCCGCGGCGCCCCGCGCGCCGCCGCUUCCGGCGCUCCGGCGGGCACGUCCGGCCGCGCGCGACCGGGGCGUCACGUGACAGCGGGGCCGUGGCGCGCGCGCGGGGCGCGUCACGGUUCCCGCGCUGCGCGCGGGGGCGGUGGCGCGUGGGGCGCCCCCUCUCGGCAGGGGCAGCGACUGCACCGCCGCCAUCGCUCCCCGUGCCCUGAGCCGCCAUCGCUCCCCGCCCUCAGAGCUGCCAUCGCUCCCUGUCCCUCAGAGCCGCCAUCGCUCCCCGCCCUCAGAGCCGCCAUCGCUCCCUGUCCCUCAGAGCCGCCAUCGCUCCGCGUCCUCAGAGCUGCCAUCGCUCCCUGUCCCUCAGAGCCGCCAUCGCUCCCCGCCCUCAGAGCCGCCAUCGCUCCCUGUCCUCAGAGCCGCCAUCGCUCCCUGUCCCUCAGAGCCGCCAUCGCUCCCCGCCCUCAGAGCCGCCAUCGCUCCCUGUCCUCAGAGCCGCCAUCGCUCCCUGUCCCUCAGAGCCGCCAUCGCUCCUUGUCUCUCAGAGCUGCCAUUGAGGUCAUGGUGGCACAGGGCUGUUUCCAAGGCUGCUCUGGACACCUGGGUAUAAAGCCUGCAAAAGUGUGCUGAGGCAUCACAUCAGGGCUACUCUGUGACGCCUCAAUGCGGGAAGUGGAUCCUGACUUUUCAAAUUAGACAUGUUCACCUGCAGCUCCCGUAACCCUUCUCACUGGCUGAGCAGACCUGAGCAAGGGCACAGCUGCUCCAUGGCUCUCACCACCCAGCCACAGCCUGGCCUUAUAGCAAGAACAAAGCAUCAGACGAGUCCCAUUGAGCUGAAUCAGAAGGCCACUGCCUCAAAACCAGUGUAAAAAUGCACUUGAAUUAAAAUAUAAGUGAGUAAGUAAUUAGCGAUUUUAAUCAGCAAAUUAAAAAAAAGUUUAGAUCAGCUUUAUCUGGUCUAAGUUCAAAUGCCCUCCUGGCCCAGGCAGCUGCUGGGGUUGGGUCUCUGAAGCCUCCUGUGCAUCCUGGAAAAUGAGGCUAAUUAGCACCUUUCAGUUUACAAAGCCAGUUGAGGACAUCCAUCCAUCCAGUCUGUGCAAGUUUGAGAUGCUGGGAUGACAGGGACAUAGGACAGUGUAUAACAGCAUCACACACAUUUCUGUUCAUUUCUGGUUUGACUAGUUCCGGAAAUAAAAGGGGAGUUGUACAAACACACAUAUUGAUUUGAAUGCCUCAGAUUGUUUUAAAGGUCCUCUGAAAUAUCGGCUGUGAACUUAAUCAAAUGAAAUUUCAGAUUUAUGACAGAGACACUGACACUCAUUUACAUAAAAGUGAAAGCCACUUGAAUAGGUAUGAACAUGCCUGAAUUUUAAAACCAGUGACCUGGGCAGCAGCUGUUUUUCUCCGUGUUACUGGCAGGGCAGAGCUGAAGAACGUCUGGUUUCAUGUUGAAAGACUGAAGCUACACCUCCUUUGCUCAUCUGAUGUGGUUUUGUGGUGACCUACUUAGAUAGUCUUACCACAGUUAUGACCAAGGUUUUUUUUCCACACUGGCUAAUUUCCGACAAUCUGCAGUUUGCUAAUCCCCCAUCUGCUUUAACUCAUUCUCUGCAUCCCAGUAGCAUUUGGGACAGAGUGCAUGGCUUCAGCCGAGGCACAGCUCAUGGAGUGACUCAGAGCUCACAGGUGCCAGUGAAAAAUGAGACUUGCACUUUGCAAAGUGGUGCAAGCUGAUUUCCAGAGUGAUGUGCACAUCUUCCUCCACUUGGAAACAGUAGGACUGCAGGCCUCCAACACAUUAGAAACUCAGGCACUUCUGCUUUUUGAUCUCAGUUUUCCUGAUGUACUGGAGUAGAGAUUUUGAACAUCACUUCAUCCAUAAAUACUGAAGCUUGGUCCAGAAUGAGAUGCACUUAAGCUGAUGAAACACAGGAAAUUUCCUUGUGAAUACUGUCUUCCUUUUUUCUGUGAAAACUAAAGUUCAGAGUUUUCCAAGGAUGACUGGAAGUAGCUGGUCACUAAAAGGUGAAUGAUUAGUGUUUCCCUUGAGAAUGCCUCUAAGAAGAAAUUAAUCUUCUGCAAAUUAGCAUGUUUUUAGUUCAUAAUAACUUUUGGAGUUUUUCUUUGCUUUUCUGGGAAGCACAGUGAAAAAGCAAGAAGUUAUAUUGAAAGGGAUUGAGGGAGAUCCGGUGGGAUUAUGGCAGAGAAGGACACUGGGGGCCAUGUGCCUCUCUCCUCCGUGCAGGAUGGCUCGUGCUCUGGGUCACAGGACAGGAAGAAGCUCCCCAGCUGUGCAACCCAGUUCUCUUUGGCAGGUCCUUAUCCUGUCCUCCUAGAAAUCAGAGAAAAACAUCAUUGAAAGCACCUCUGCAGAGUUCCAGUCCAUCCUCUGCUUGCAGCAGGUCCAGCUUCAAGGUCAGAGGAGGUUGCUCAGGGUCUUGUCCAGAGAAAUUUUGAGAAUCUCUAAGAAUGGAAUGUCCCCACUCCAUGGAUGGAGCAUGGAUGGAGCUGCUCUGGGAGACCUGUCCUCGUGCUGCACUGCUCUCAGGGUGAAGAACUCUUUCUGUUGUGCAGCUGAAAGUCCCCUUGUUGCACUUCGUAGCUGGUGCCUCUUCUGUUGCACAGCCACGGCAGGCGUCUGCUCCUCCUCCCUUAUAGCUGUGCCCACACUGAUCUGAGGUAGGAGUAGCUGCAUCCACUCUUGGUGUUUUAAAAUCCAAUCAGCCAAUGGUGGAAGAGCCAUGGCAGCUGUGUAGAUCAGGGAAAAGGGCAUGGCUGGAGUCCUGUGUGAUCUUCCCCAAUGGCGAUGGGCUCCUGCCAUUGUCACCAGAGCAAUGUUCAGUUCUGUACCAGGCUGGUGCAGAACAAGGAAAAUCUUAAAACUCUCUUUCCUAGUCACUCAAGUUGUGUUUGGCAUAAUGAGUAGGUCAUCUGACCUAAGAAAGAAGGCCGGAAAUUGUAUUGGUUUGCUUUUUCUUUGCUAUUUCUUUGCUUUUGUUUUGUUUGGGGUUCUUUUGGUUUUGGCCUCAGCCUCAGCCUCAUUUUUUGGGUUAUUUUGUCCCUUAAAUCUUUCAACUGAUGUGAUCAGAAAGCUCCACACUUGUUUUGUUUUACUGGAUUUUUAGCUGUCAUGUGCUUUUAAUCAUGAGGGACUGGUGCAGAAAAGGGAUGAGUACAGAUGUAACUCUUCAGGAUGUGACUGACCUUCUCCUCACGGUGCCUGCUGGCCCUGGCCAAAGGGAAACCACAGAUGGGGUUUGGGAGCCAUGGGAAGGAUUCAGGAAGGGAUGUGGAAGGGAGGAAGAUUUAGCCAGGAAAGUAGAGGCCUGGCAACAUAAACACAAACCCAGGACUGAACCUCACAAAGGCCAGGAUCUGAAAGGGAAAAAAAAAAAAAAAAAGCCAGGAAAAGGGAAAAAGGUAGAUUGAGAACAAGGGUCCAAGGGAGCCCUGUUGGAGGGGGGAGCAUCAGAGCAGCUGGAGGCAUCAAGGGCUGCUGCAUCUCCUGUGUGAGAACAGGAAACUGCAGCAACCAGCACACAGCAGUUGGUCAGCUACCCUGAAAUGUCACUUUCCCACUGAGUUGUAGUGCUGCACACAUAUGCUCAGCACAGCACACUCUGGGUGAAGUAACCACAGGUGAUACCAAAUUAUAAUGUCUCAAAUGUUCUGUGCGAAGAGAUGGUGAUUUUCAUGUCUCGUCUCUGACUCAUCAGCAGGAAAUACCUGUUGUUGCCAUUGAGAAGGGGCCAGUCCAUCUUACUGCCACUGAGGUAACCAAGCCAAACACUGCUCCAGCAUCGCGGUGCACUUGGUGUUUCAAGGACUUGGUCACAAGGAAAGUAAUAAUUUUGGCAGGAGGCUGUUCAGGCUGCUUCUCACUUGUGGUUUUCUGAUGCACAGCAACUGAGCAUCUGUUGAUUAAUGCAUGUACUGAAUGUUGCUUUUAAUAGAUCACAGGAAUUUCACAGUUGUUUAAGCUCAUCUAAGAUGAUGUGGCUGUAGGUAACAUAGUGUUUAGUUUUAAUUCUUAAAUUAUGCAGAGCAGCCUAAAUAGAUAGCUAUGUAGAACAUCGAGGGCAGGCACAGAUGAGUUAGUGACCAGCUGUAACCUUGCGCUGGAAACGUAGGGGAAGGUGCUAAUUUACAGCCCAGGACUUUGCUCUCGCUUAGGAGUGGAGUCUGUCGGCUCUAAAGACCAAGGGCAUGUCAGAUUUACUCUGGGGAAUUGGUUUAGCUCUUAUGACACUCUUUGGCCUUGAAGACAUCUGGGUUUGCCUUUUAGAUUAUCUACAAACAUGGUGAUCUCAGGCACGCUGAAGUCACCCUUGAGUCAGUUCUCUCUGAAACAGAGUGCUGAACUUCCUUCUGCAGUGGGGUGCAGCAACAGUGGGAGGAGACUGCUAGUAGGGAAGGUAGAAGUGCUUCAACUAGAUUUACUGUAGAACUAUCCUACAAGUGUUUAAAAACAUCAGUUGCCUUCCGAGCUUGGAUUCAUAGUAAAGAUAAAAUAUUUCCUGGGUUAUGGAGAGGGAUUCAGCUCUAAACUCACCUGAAGCCAGAUCCUGCUUCUGGCAUGGAAUAUGGUAUAGGCCAAAACCCAAAAUGAGCCAGUGUUUUCAAGGACAAAAUCAGCAAUACUAAGAACACCAAGAUCAGCUGUGGCCUUAAAAUGGCCGUAUCUGUGGGCUGCAUGUGAGGAGGGAAUGCCUAUGGCCAUGGCAUAGUGCCACCACAGUGCCACCACAGUGCCACCACAGUGCCAACAGGGCAGUUAUUGCUUGCAAAAGACCUGCCUUUUGGGGGCUUCAGCAUCACCCAGGAUUGGCCCCAUUACCGCUGCUGAAGAUCUUGGCAGGCUGGGAUGUGAGUGCUGGAGAGCUGCAUUGGCCUGAGAACAGCCUCUGUGCAAAUGGAUCUCUUCGCACUCCCUUCUCUCAGUCUGAGACUGGAAAAGAGACAACUGGUGGUACUUUAAUGGGACAGAUUAAUGAUCUUUGUUAUUAAACUUAGGACAUUUCUUUAUUACACAGGUGAAGGUUCAGCUGCCACAAAGGAGGCAGGGAAAGCGUCAGCAUGUAAUUUGCUUUAUUGCUUUGGGAUAGAUGGGAAAGAGUCUCUUAGGCUGACUGAUGAAAUGCUGAAAAUUCUUUUGGACCCUUCACCAUAUAGAGUUGUUUUUCCAUUUCUUAAUGUGCCUUAGCAUAUAUAGCAUUUUAUUCUCUUGUUCUCUAGCUAUGUGCAGUAGGCAUAUGCUUGGAUGCAUAUAUAUACACAGACUUGCAUGUAUAAACAUAAAUAAAUACAUAGGCAAAUGCCAGGUACUAG